This 1500-nucleotide long non-coding RNA is filed under the name Bemisia tabaci. Its description in RNAcentral is "lncRNA ENSSSA3NGG010881". The record is from RNAcentral. Lineage: Eukaryota; Metazoa; Arthropoda; Insecta; Hemiptera; Aleyrodidae.
AUGUACCAAUUAGUCGACCCCCGAAGGCACACUCCGCCUGUUCCCCCCCGCCGUGAUUAUCCCGGAGCGAGGCAAAAUGUGCCAUUGACCUCCUCAAGCCAACAACCUGCCAGCAGCCAGGUUCUUGACUCCCACUUUUUACAAAAUAGAAACCCAUCAAAACGCCCGCUUUUUGAACCCCCAAAAUUUGCAGGAAAACCGUCUGAAUGCAUUCAUGAAUUUCUCCGAAGUUACAAAAAAGCAGCGCGAGUAAACCGAUGGACUGAGCAGGAAAAGAUUGAUUUGUUGGAAAACUAUUUGACAGGUACUGCGUUAAAAUACAUUAAAUCAUUGGAUGAUAAAUAUGGAGCUACCUUGCAAUUCGAACCAACAGUACAGCUUUUGAUUGAUACUUUUGCCCCAAUGCAUAGAAAGACAAAAUUAGAAAUCGAGCUGUCACACAUGAAACAAGGUAUCAAUCAAACGCUUGAGGACUUUGUGGUUUCAGUAGAAAUGUUAGCAAAGAGAUGUGACCCUGACAUGCCUGAAAUUAAAAUUGUCAAUCUUUGUUUAAAAGGCAUGCAUAAAGACAUAGCUAAAGACUUGCUGCUUAGACCACAAAAUUCAAUGGCCGAUUUACGUGAAGGUAUGAAACUUUUAGAAACCCGAGAAUUUUUACUAAAUCAAGGUGUUAAAGAUAGCCUUUUGACCCCGCCAACUAAAGAGGAGAAAACAGAAAAUAAAGAGACCGAAGUCACAGCAUUGGUGAAAACUAUGCAAAACCAAAUGAAAACCUUAUGCGAAAAUAUAAGCCAAGUCAUAACACCAUCAUCUAGUGUUCCAAUAAAUGCGAUUACUGAUCAGUCCAUUGAAAUGAGAAGAAGCAGAAGCAGAGAGAAAGCUAACAACUCCUACGCUGAACGCCGAAAUUCCCAGUCCCCCUUCCAAUACAGAGAUAGUAAUUAUUCUCCAAAAUCAUACGAGGCAUCCCCCAACCCUUAUUAUAGAGAUACGCGUUAUACUGAUGAAAGGAAUCCGUCGAGCUACCGGCAAACCGAGUUCCGCAAUUACUCUCGCGACCGCAAUGACUCGCGAGAACGACCGAUACGGUCCCGAUUUGACUCUAGAGAUAGAUAUCCUUACUAUAGAGAUACCUCUAGAGAUCUUUUCGCUCGUGACGGAAACGGCGCUCGAAAUAGAAUACCCGAAAAUGACUCCAAAGACCGCUUCUCAAGAGGCAGAAAUGAUUCUCGCGAUAGAUACCGUAGAGACCGCAGCGAUUCUAGAGACCGAUACCGCGGUGAUUCUAGAGACCGCUACCGCGGUGAUUCUAGAGACCGCUACCGCGGCGAUUCAAGAGACCGCUACCGUAGCGAUUCUAGAGACCGCUACCGCAGCGAUUCGAGAGACCGAAAUCGCAACAAUUCAAAAGACAAAAAUACCCCUGAAACGACCGCCAAUCAGACUUCAAAAGUUAUUUGCUGGAACUGCAAUGGCGUCGGUCAUUUCCAGAACCAAUGC